This 253-nucleotide ribosomal RNA is filed under the name uncultured bacterium. RNAcentral's name for it is "partial 16S ribosomal RNA". It matches the Rfam family "Bacterial small subunit ribosomal RNA", at positions 524 to 776 of the family's 1533-position model. The record is from RNAcentral.
UACAGAGGGGGCAAGCGUUGUUCGGAAUUACUGGGCGUAAAGGGCGCGUAGGCGGCCCGCUAAGUCGAACGUGAAAUCCCCGGGCUCAACCCGGGAACUGCGUCCGAUACUGGUGGGCUUGAAUCCGGGAGAGGGAUGCGGAAUUCCAGGUGUAGCGGUGAAAUGCGUAGAUAUCUGGAGGAACACCGGUGGCGAAGGCGGCAUCCUGGACCAAUACUGACACUGAGGAGCGAAAGCCAGGGGAGCAAACGGG